Molecule: ribosomal RNA, 254 nt
Filed under: uncultured bacterium
Lineage: Bacteria
Description: partial 16S ribosomal RNA
Rfam family: Bacterial small subunit ribosomal RNA
Source: RNAcentral
UACAGAGGGCGCGAGCGUUGUCCGGAAUCACUGGGCGUAAAGGGCGCGUAGGUGGCCACUAUAAGGCCGCGGUGAAAGUUCGGGGCUCAACCCUGAAUCUGCCGCGGCGACUGUAGGGCUAGGGCACCGUAGAGGCAGAUGGAAUUCCGGGUGUAGCGGUGGAAUGCGUAGAGAUCCGGAAGAACACCGGUGGCGAAGGCGGUCUGCUGGACCAUAACUGACACUCAGGGACGAAAGCUAGGGGAGCGAAUGGG